UCCCAGUUCGGAUUGUAGUCUGCAACCCGACUACAUGAAGCUGGAAUCGCUAGUAAUUGCGGAUCAGAAUGCCGCGGUGAAUACGUUCCCGGGUCUUGUACACACCGCCCGUCACACCAUGGGAGUCGGAAAUGCCCGAAGUCUGUGACCCAACCAUUAAGGAGGGAGCAGCCGAAGGCAGGUCGGAUGACUGGGGUGAAGUCGUAACAAGGUACC
Molecule: ribosomal RNA, 216 nt
Filed under: uncultured bacterium
Lineage: Bacteria
Description: partial 16S ribosomal RNA
Rfam family: Bacterial small subunit ribosomal RNA
Source: RNAcentral